This 497-nucleotide ribosomal RNA is filed under the name uncultured bacterium. Its description in RNAcentral is "partial 16S ribosomal RNA". It matches the Rfam family "Bacterial small subunit ribosomal RNA", at positions 28 to 507 of the family's 1533-position model. The record is from RNAcentral.
GAUGAACGCUGGCGGCGUACCUAAUACAUGCAAGUCGAGCGAACGGACGAGAAGCUUGCUUCUCUGAUGUUAGCGGCGGACGGGUGAGUAACACGUGGAUAACCUACCUAUAAGACUGGGAUAACUUCGGGAAACCGGAGCUAAUACCGGAUGAUAUUUUGAACCGCAUGGUUCAAAAGUGAAAGACGGUCUUGCUGUCACUUAUAGAUGGAUCCGCGCUGCAUUAGCUAGUUGGUAAGGUAACGGCUUACCAAGGCAACGAUGCAUAGCCGACCUGAGAGGGUGAUCGGCCACACUGGAACUGAGCCACGUUCCAGACUCCUACGGGAGGCAGCAGUAGGGAAUCUUCCGCAAUGGGCGAAAGCCUGACGGAGCACCGCCGCGUGAGUGAUGAAGGUCUUCGGAUCGUAAAACUCUGUUAUUAGGGAAGAACAUAUGUGUAAGUAACUGUGCACAUCUUGACGGUACCUAAUCAGAAAGCCACGGCUAACUACGUG